RNAcentral lists this long non-coding RNA (219 nucleotides) under Gossypium raimondii (Peruvian cotton). Its description in RNAcentral is "long non-coding RNA (GRAI_LNC010092)". Lineage: Eukaryota; Viridiplantae; Streptophyta; Magnoliopsida; Malvales; Malvaceae. The record is from RNAcentral.
CUCAACUUGCCUUUCCUUCAUCCUUGCCAUGUGAAUCGAUUCAUUGUACCUAGUCAAGCACAUAUCACCUUUUGAUUGAUUUUUCCUUACUCUCCUCUCCCCAUUGUCGUCCAUCUUCUUAGCUCAUCCCUUUCUCUCUAUUUUUCUUUGUUUUGGCCACUCUUCCACCACCUUUGCUUUUAGUUAUUCUCCUCUCUUCCACCACCCAUUGCAAGCCGA